RNAcentral lists this ribosomal RNA (497 nucleotides) under uncultured bacterium. RNAcentral's name for it is "partial 16S ribosomal RNA". It matches the Rfam family "Bacterial small subunit ribosomal RNA", at positions 28 to 507 of the family's 1533-position model. The record is from RNAcentral.
GAUGAACGCUGGCGGCGUGCCUAAUACAUGCAAGUCGAGCGAACGGACGAGAAGCUUGCUUUUCUGAUGUUAGCGGCGGACGGGUGAGUAACACGUGGAUAACCUACCUAUAAGACUGGGAUAACUUCGGGAAACCGGAGCUAAUACCGGAUAAUAUUUUGAACCGCAUGGUUCAAAAGUGAAAGACGGUCUUGCUGUCACUUAUAGAUGGAUCCGCGCUGCAUUAGCUAGUUGGUAAGGUAACGGCUUACCAAGGCAACGAUGCAUAGCCGACCUGAGAGGGUGAUCGGCCACACUGGAACUGAGACACGGUCCACACUCCUACGGGAGGCAGCAGUAGGGAAUCUUCCGCAAUGGGCGAAAGCCUGACGGAGCAACGCCGCGUGAGUGAUGAAGGUCUUCGGAUCGUAAAACUCUGUUAUUAGGGAAGAACAUAUGUGUAAGUAACUGUGCACAUCUUGACGGUACCUAAUCAGAAAGCCACGGCUAACUACGUG